RNAcentral lists this ribosomal RNA (458 nucleotides) under uncultured bacterium. RNAcentral describes it as "partial 16S ribosomal RNA". It matches the Rfam family "Bacterial small subunit ribosomal RNA", at positions 28 to 507 of the family's 1533-position model. The record is from RNAcentral.
GAUAAACGCUGGCGGCGUGCAUGAGACAUGCAAGUCGAACGAAGGAUCGGGCUUGCUCGAUCCUUAGUGGCGGACGGCUGAGUAACGCGUAGGUGACCUACCCCGAAGUGGGGAAUAACUGUCCGAAAGGGUGGCUAAUACCGCAUGUGGUCGCACGUUCAUUCGUGCGAGUAAAGCCGCAAGGCGCUUCGGGAGGGGCCUGCGUCCGAUUAGCUCGUUGGUGGGGUAAUGGCUUACCAAGGCGACGAUCGGUAGGUGGUCUGAGAGGACGAUCACCCAGACUGGGACUGAGACACGGCCCAGACUCCUACGGGAGGCAGCAGUCGGGAAUUUUGCUCAAUGGGGGAAACCCUGAAGCAGCAACGCCGCGUGAGGGAUGAAGGCCUUCGGGUUGUAAACCUCUUUUGUCAGGGACGAUGAUGACGGUACCUGGCGAAUAAGCCACGGCUAACUACGUG